AAACCCCCCGCCAUAGCUAUUUCCAUUUUCCAACCUUUCCCUUUUCCCUCUUCCUCCUCUAAUCUCUGCAGCUUCUCUAUUCUCUCUCACAAAUUACGUACGGCUCCUCCAACGAACGGCGCUUCUCUCCAUCUCUCUCAGCAAUCGAAUGGAGUUUGCUUCUGUUCUGUUUCCCUUCAGAUGGACUUGCGAUGUUACUGUUGGUUUUUCUGUGACCUUUUGCAGUAGAAGCCUGGGUUGGAUUUUGUUGUAGAAUUGGGAUUGAAGGAGCGAAAUCAAGAUGCUGUGGGGUUCGUCAUUUGUUAAUUACAACAUGAACUGCAUUCGCUUGGUGGUGUUCUUUCGUGUCAUUCUGUAAUUCCAUUUCAUUUCGGUGAACUGUACGUGGCGUUUGAACGAAUUCUUUUAGCUGGUAUUUGCUACUUUUAAAACUGGUGUGAGGAUUGAGAAUGUACAUUGGAGUAACCAUAAAAAGAUAUCGAGCAGUGAUAGAAGUUGGGAAGAUUAAAAAGUGAGUGUCAGGAUCAUCACAUACUACCAACUGAUACAAGUUUGCCAGGAAAUGCUGAUAGUGGAUUGAACAGACUCUGGCAGAAGAAGAAAGUCGAAAUCCGCCAACAGGAGGGCAAGGGAGAAAGAAUCUAGCUAGUUAAUAUUUGUUUUUGAUGUUCUAUUCAAGAGUAGUGAUUAUGUACUCUUUAAGGAUUUUGCCUCCUUUUGACCUGUUGUUAAUGUUGCAACUAAUUUUUACUCUUUCAUGUGUAAAACAUAUUCAUGUUACUAUCUUAAUUAAGGUACU
Alnus glutinosa is the source of this 799-nucleotide long non-coding RNA. RefSeq lists it as uncharacterized. The transcript has 4 exons. NCBI's taxonomy places the organism in Eukaryota, Viridiplantae, Streptophyta, Magnoliopsida, Fagales, Betulaceae. The record is from RefSeq and is a predicted model, not a curated record.